AGAGUUUGAUCAUGGCUCAGGAUAAACGCCGACAGAUUGCUUAACACAUGCAAGUCUAUGAGGAAGUUUAGCUUGCUAAAUGGACUCAUGGCGGACGGGUGAGUAACGCGUAAAGAACUUGCCCUUUAGACUGGGAUAACAGAGGGAAACUUCUGAUAAUACUGGAUAAGUUAGUAUAUCGCAUGAUAUGCAAAUGAAAGCUACGGCACUAAAGGAGAGCUUUGCGUCCUAUUAGCUAGUUGGUAAGGUAAGAGCUUACCAAGGCGAUGAUAGAUAGCCGGCCUGAGAGGGUGGACGGCCACAAGGGGACUGAGAUACGGCCCUU
RNAcentral lists this ribosomal RNA (325 nucleotides) under uncultured bacterium. RNAcentral describes it as "bacterial SSU rRNA". It matches the Rfam family "Bacterial small subunit ribosomal RNA", at positions 8 to 334 of the family's 1533-position model. The record is from RNAcentral.